UACGUAGGGUGCGAGCGUUAAUCGGAAUUACUGGGCGUAAAGCGUGCGCAGGCGGUUUUGUAAGCCAGAUGUGAAAUCCCCGGGCUUAACCUGGGAAUGGCAUUUGGGACUGCAAGGCUGGAGUGCGGCAGAGGAGACUGGAAUUCCUGGUGUAGCAGUGAAAUGCGUAGAUAUCAGGAGGAAUACCGAUGGCGAAGGCAGCCCCCUGGGUCAACACUGACGCUCAUGCACGAAAGCGUGGGGAGCAAACAGG
This 253-nucleotide ribosomal RNA is filed under the name uncultured bacterium. RNAcentral's name for it is "partial 16S ribosomal RNA". It matches the Rfam family "Bacterial small subunit ribosomal RNA", at positions 524 to 776 of the family's 1533-position model. The record is from RNAcentral.